GACGAACGCUGGCGGCGUGCUUAACACAUGCAAGUCGAGCGGAAAGGCCCUUCGGGGUACUCGAGCGGCGAACGGGUGAGUAACACGUGAGUAACCUGCCCUAGGCUUUGGGAUAACCCCGGGAAACCGGGGCUAAUACCGGAUAUGACCUGGUGCCGCAUGGUGUCGGGUGGAAAGUUUUUUCGGCCUGGGAUGGGCUCGCGGCCUAUCAGCUUGUUGGUGGGGUGAUGGCCUACCAAGGCGAUGACGGGUAGCCGGCCUGAGAGGGCGACCGGCCACACUGGGACUGAGACACGGCCCAGACUCCUACGGGAGGCAGCAGUGGGGAAUAUUGCACAAUGGGCGGAAGCCUGAUGCAGCGACGCCGUGUGAGGGAUGAAGGCCUUCGGGUUGUAAACCUCUUUCAGCAGGGACGAAGCGUGAGUGACGGUACCUGCAGAAGAAGCGCCGGCCAACUACGUG
This 462-nucleotide ribosomal RNA is filed under the name uncultured bacterium. RNAcentral describes it as "partial 16S ribosomal RNA". It matches the Rfam family "Bacterial small subunit ribosomal RNA", at positions 28 to 507 of the family's 1533-position model. The record is from RNAcentral.